RNAcentral lists this non-coding RNA (121 nucleotides) under unclassified sequences. RNAcentral describes it as "SAM-I-IV sequence". It matches the Rfam family "SAM-I/IV (S-adenosyl methionine) riboswitch aptamer". Rfam says of the family: It is found upstream of a number of genes which code for proteins involved in methionine or cysteine biosynthesis. The record is from Rfam by way of RNAcentral.
GAAUUGCAUUUAGAGCGGUCGGAGUCGUAGUGCUCUUGGCCCGGCAACCUGGGUUCGCCCCCAAGGUGCUUGCACACGAUGUGCGAUGCGGUCGGAUACCCGGCAAACCGGCGCCGAUUCG